Long non-coding RNA from Hipposideros armiger (great roundleaf bat), 1307 nucleotides. RefSeq lists it as uncharacterized. NCBI's taxonomy places the organism in Eukaryota, Metazoa, Chordata, Mammalia, Chiroptera, Hipposideridae. The record is from RefSeq and is a predicted model, not a curated record. The transcript is spliced from 3 exons.
CAAUCUGAAUCAAGGUCUCACUUCAAAAUCUGUAUAUCCUUUUUGUUGCAUUUCCCAUGGAUUAGAGAAGGAGAAUUUGAUGACUAACACUGAGGUGAAAGUAGAGUCUCAACUAAAGUCAGCGAUGGCAGCAAAAGGAGAUGAAUUUUGGGAGACAGGAAGGUAACAAAGGAACCUGCCAGGAUGUACAGAGGAUGAAGAGAGGAGUCACAAAUGACUGAAGUUCAAGCAUGAGUAUCUGAAGGAAUGGGGCAGUUUUUCAAGCAUAUGACAAGGCAAUCAUCCACCUGUGCUGAUCCGUACUGAAUGGAUGUGAAAUACAAAUGUGUAUGUACAUGUGUAAACUAAGGCCGACUAGAGAGAGGAAGGCAGACUGAAGAGAAGGAGUGCAGCAGCGAGGGAGGGAGGAAGUGGCUAACCCGAACGUCUCCCCAAGUUUCUCUGGCGCUCUGCUCCCUGUGAAUGAGAAGUGCUACAACACAGUAUUUAAGAACCCAGGUUCUACAGUCGGAGGACCUGGGUUGAAAUCUUGACUGUAAUUUACGCAUGUGUGACCUGGGGUGUCCCGUUAUUUACCCUCCUUGAGACUCAGUUUCCUCAUCUAAAAAACAAGGAUAACAGUCCCUCUAUCAAAUAAUUGUGAUGAACACUGAGAAAUAUGCAUGAAGCUCUAAGGACAUGGCCAGACACGAGAGUUCUCAAAACAGAUCCUUGAACCAUAACCAGUAUAUCUUACUUAACUAGGGCUGUUGUCUCACUUUUCUUUCCGAGGCACCAACCACCUAAACCAGUGCCUCAUUCAAUAUUUAUGAAACACCACAACUAUAUGCAGUUCAGUUUGAAGAUGAAACAAAUCCCAGUGACAAGGCUUCUCGGCUAAAACCCUGAGAUUUCAAACUCCUUCAUGCCACAAAACACGCAGGAUCUGUUAUGAUUAAGGCUCUACAGAGGGUAUUAUAAAUAUGGACAGGACCCCAGGGAAGCGGGGAGUCCAGGAAGGAAGGAGCUGCACAUUAUUAACAGUCAUAUAGAUAGGCUAGCGUUCAUGUCCUCAGCCUUUACAGCGUCAGAAUCGUCUGUGGAAUGUUCAAAAACAAACACGACAGAGCCCCAACUUAGAGACUCUCACUCCAUAGGCCUGGGGCGAGGUAUUGGGACUUUUAUUUUUAAAAAAUUCUCCAAGUGACUCGGAUGUACUACCGAAUCUGGAAACUACUGGGGUAAAAAGCAUGUCAAGUACUAGCAGUUUAGAAGAUAAAGAGAUUGCUUUCCGAGAGGAAGAGCAGAGGUCUAUGAAGAAGCCUUGA